RNAcentral lists this non-coding RNA (24 nucleotides) under Arabidopsis thaliana (thale cress). The record is from RNAcentral. Lineage: Eukaryota; Viridiplantae; Streptophyta; Magnoliopsida; Brassicales; Brassicaceae.
UGCUAAUUUAGAGUAUAAGGUUGG